AUAUUUAAAAUGAUGAGUUCAUAGUUCAAAUGAAAUUAAGUGAUUACAUACUAGCAUUAUGUCUUUCGCUCCUAUCUGAUUAUUUUA
Molecule: small nucleolar RNA, 87 nt
Organism: Diabrotica virgifera virgifera (western corn rootworm)
Lineage: Eukaryota; Metazoa; Arthropoda; Insecta; Coleoptera; Chrysomelidae
Product: small nucleolar RNA snR60/Z15/Z230/Z193/J17
Exons: 1
Source: RefSeq, a predicted model, not a curated record